This 440-nucleotide ribosomal RNA is filed under the name uncultured bacterium. RNAcentral describes it as "partial 16S ribosomal RNA". It matches the Rfam family "Bacterial small subunit ribosomal RNA", at positions 338 to 795 of the family's 1533-position model. The record is from RNAcentral.
CCUACGGGAGGCAGCAGUGGGGAAUAUUGCACAAUGGGGGAAACCCUGAUGCAGCGACGCCGCGUGAGUAAAGAAGUAUUUCGGUACGUAAAGCUCUAUCAGCAGGGAAGAAAAUGACGGUACCUGACUAAGAAGCCCCGGCUAACUACGUGCCAGCAGCCGCGGUAAUACGUAGGGGGCAAGCGUUAUCCGGAUUUACUGGGUGUAAAGGGAGCGUAGACGGCAGCGCAAGUCUGGAGUGAAAUCCCAUGGCUUAACCAUGGAACUGCUUUGGAAACUGUGCAGCUAGAGUGCAGGAGAGGUAAGCGGAAUUCCUAGUGUAGCGGUGAAAUGCGUAGAUAUUAGGAGGAACACCAGUGGCGAAGGCGGCUUACUGGACUGUAACUGACGUUAAGGCUCGAAAGCGUGGGGAGCAAACAGGAUUAGAUACCCGAGUAGUC